GACCUCGGAUCAGGUAGGGAUACCCGCUGAACUUAAGCAUAUCAAUAAGCGGAGGAAAAGAAACCAACCGGGAUUGCCUCAGUAACGGCGAGUGAAGCGGCAAGAGCUCAAAUUUGAAAGCUGGCCCCUUCGGGGUCCGCAUUGUAAUUUGCAGAGGAUGCUUCGGGUGCAGCCCCCGUCUAAGUGCCCUGGAAUGGGCCGUCAGAGAGGGUGAGAAUCCCGUCUGGGAUGGGGUGCCUGUGCCCGUGUGAAGCUCCUUCGACGAGUCGAGUUGUUUGGGAAUGCAGCUCUAAAUGGGUGGUAAAUUUCAUCUAAAGCUAAAUAUUGGCCGGAGACCGAUAGCGCACAAGUAGAGUGAUCGAAAGAUGAAAAGCACUUUGAAAAGAGAGUUAAACAGCACGUGA
This 404-nucleotide ribosomal RNA is filed under the name Aspergillus flavipes. Its description in RNAcentral is "eukaryotic LSU rRNA". It matches the Rfam family "Eukaryotic large subunit ribosomal RNA", at positions 1 to 402 of the family's 3401-position model. Lineage: Eukaryota; Fungi; Ascomycota; Eurotiomycetes; Eurotiales; Aspergillaceae. The record is from RNAcentral.